RNAcentral lists this ribosomal RNA (535 nucleotides) under uncultured archaeon. RNAcentral describes it as "bacterial SSU rRNA". It matches the Rfam family "Archaeal small subunit ribosomal RNA", at positions 339 to 875 of the family's 1478-position model. The record is from RNAcentral.
GCGCGAAAACUCCGCAAUGCGCGUAAGCGUGACGGGGCUAUCCCGAGUGCUGUCCGCUGAGGAUAGCUUUUCUUCGGUUUAAGGAGCCGGAGGAAUAAGGGGAGGGCAAGCCUGGUGUCAGCCGCCGCGGUAAUACCAGCUCCCCGAGUGGUGGGGGUAAUUAUUGGGCCUAAAGCGUCCGUAGCUGGCUUGAUAAGUCUUCUGUUAAAUCCGACGAUCCAAUCGUCGGGCUGCAGGAGAUACUGUCGAGCUAGGGGGCGGAAGAAGCCGACGGUACUCCUGAGGUAGGGGUGAAAUCCUAUAAUCCCAGGAGGACCACCAGUGGCGAAGGCGGUCGGCUAGAACGCGCUCGACGGUGAGGGACGAAAGCUGGGGGAGCGAUCCGGAUUAGAUACCCGGGUAGUCCCAGCUGUAAACUAUGCAGGCUAGGUGUUGGCGUGACUACGAGUCUCGUCAGUGCCGCAGGGAAGCUGUUAAGCCUGCCGCCUGGGGGAGUACGGUCGCAAGACUGAAACUUAAAGGAAUUGGGCGGGGG